GAUGAACGCUGGCGGCGUGCCUAAUACAUGCAAGUCGAACGAGUUCUCGUUGAUGAUUGGUGCUUGCACCGAGAUUCAACAUGGAACGAGUGGCGGACGGGUGAGUAACACGUGGGUAACCUGCCCUUAAGUGGGGGAUAACAUUUGGAAACAGAUGCUAAUACCGCAUAGAUCCAAGAACCGCAUGGUUCUUGGCUGAAAGAUGGCGUAAGCUAUCGCUUUUGGAUGGACCCGCGGCGUAUUAGCUAGUUGGUGAGGUAAUGGCUCACCAAGGCGAUGAUACGUAGCCGAACUGAGAGGUUGAUCGGCCACAUUGGGACUGAGACACGGCCCAAACUCCUACGGGAGGCAGCAGUAGGGAAUCUUCCACAAUGGACGCAAGUCUGAUGGAGCAACGCCGCGUGAGUGAAGAAGGCUUUCGGGUCGUAAAACUCUGUUGUUGGAGAAGAAUGGUCGGCAGAGUAACUGUUGUCGGCGUGACGGUAUCCAACCAGAAAGCCACGGCUAACUACGUGCCAGCAGCCGCGGUAAUACGUAGGUGGCAAGCGUUAUCCGGAUUUAUUGGGCGUAAAGCGAGCGCAGGCGGUUUUUUAAGUCUGAUGUGAAAGCCCUCGGCUUAACCGAGGAAGCGCAUCGGAAACUGGGAAACUUGAGUGCAGAAGAGGACAGUGGAACUCCAUGUGUAGCGGUGAAAUGCGUAGAUAUAUGGAAGAACACCAGUGGCGAAGGCGGCUGUCUGGUCUGUAACUGACGCUGAGGCUCGAAAGCAUGGGUAGCGAACAGGAUUAGAUACCCUGGUAGUCCAUGCCGUAAACGAUGAAUGCUAGGUGUUGGAGGGUUUCCGCCCUUCAGUGCCGCAGCUAACGCAUUAAGCAUUCCGCCUGGGGAGUACGACCGCAAGGUUGAAACUCAAAGGAAUUGACGGGGGCCCGCACAAGCGGUGGAGCAUGUGGUUUAAUUCGAAGCAACGCGAAGAACCUUACCAGGUCUUGACAUCUUUUGAUCACCUGAGAGAUCAGGUUUCCCCUUCGGGGGCAAAAUGACAGGUGGUGCAUGGUUGUCGUCAGCUCGUGUCGUGAGAUGUUGGGUUAAGUCCCGCAACGAGCGCAACCCUUAUGACUAGUUGCCAGCAUUUAGUUGGGCACUCUAGUAAGACUGCCGGUGACAAACCGGAGGAAGGUGGGGAUGACGUCAAAUCAUCAUGCCCCUUAUGACCUGGGCUACACACGUGCUACAAUGGAUGGUACAACGAGUUGCGAGACCGCGAGGUCAAGCUAAUCUCUUAAAGCCAUUCUCAGUUCGGACUGUAGGCUGCAACUCGCCUACACGAAGUCGGAAUCGCUAGUAAUCGCGGAUCAGCACGCCGCGGUGAAUACGUUCCCGGGCCUUGUACACACCGCCCGUCACACCAUGAGAGUUUGUAACACCCGAAGCCGGUGGCGUAACCCUUUUAGGGAGCGAGCCGUCUAAGGUGGGACAAAUGAUUAGGGUGAAG
This 1495-nucleotide ribosomal RNA is filed under the name Lacticaseibacillus paracasei. RNAcentral describes it as "bacterial SSU rRNA". It matches the Rfam family "Bacterial small subunit ribosomal RNA". Lineage: Bacteria; Bacillati; Bacillota; Bacilli; Lactobacillales; Lactobacillaceae. The record is from RNAcentral.